This 387-nucleotide ribosomal RNA is filed under the name uncultured bacterium. RNAcentral describes it as "bacterial SSU rRNA". It matches the Rfam family "Bacterial small subunit ribosomal RNA", at positions 29 to 419 of the family's 1533-position model. The record is from RNAcentral.
AUUGAACGCUGGCGGAAUGCUUUACACAUGCAAGUCGAGCGGCAGCGCGGGGCAACCUGGCGGCGAGCGGCGAACGGGUGAGUAAUGCAUCGGAACAUGUCCAUGUCGUGGGGGAUAGCCCGGCGAAAGCCGGAUUAAUACCGCAUACGCCCGAGAGGGGAAAGUGGGGGACCGCAAGGCCUCACGCGAUUGGGUUGGCCGAUGUCCGAUUAGCUAGUUGGCGGGGAAGAGCCCACCAAGGCGAUGAUCGGUAGCUGGUCUGAGAGGAUGAUCAGCCACACUGGGACUGAGACACGGCCCAGACUCCUACGGGAGGCAGCAGUGGGGAAUUUUGGACAAUGGGGGCAACCCUGAUCCAGCCAUUCCGCGUGAGUGAAGAAGGCCUGG